CAUUAAAGAAUACAAGGCUCUCGAGCCCUAUUCUCACCCUUUGUUUAUUAACUUUGUUGCUUUGGCAGGCCUCCGGCUUCGGCUGGAUCGCGUCUGUCAGAGGCCUAAACUCUUGAAUCUCUGCUGUCUGAGUACUAUCUAAUAGUUAAAACUUUCAACAACGGAUCUCUUGGUUCUGGCAUCGAUGAAGAACGCAGCGAAAUGCGAUAAGUAAUGUGAAUUGCAGAAUUCAGUGAAUCAUCGAAUCUUUGAACGCACAUUGCGCCCUCUGGUAUUCCGGGGGGCAUGCCUGUUCGAGCGUCAUUACAACCCUCAAGCUCUGCUUGGUGUUGGGCUCGCCCUGUACGGCCUGCCUCAAAGUCAGUGGCGGCACCGUCUGACCCUAAGCGUAGUACUACUCGCCGCUUCUGGAAUCGGUCGGCUGCCUGCCAGCCUAACCCC
Molecule: ribosomal RNA, 441 nt
Filed under: fungal sp. 11.25
Lineage: Eukaryota; Fungi
Description: eukaryotic LSU rRNA
Rfam family: 5.8S ribosomal RNA (bases 150-303)
Source: RNAcentral